Molecule: RNA transcript, 5393 nt
Organism: Biomphalaria glabrata
Lineage: Eukaryota; Metazoa; Mollusca; Gastropoda; Planorbidae
Gene name: glycerophosphocholine phosphodiesterase GPCPD1-like
Exons: 18
Source: RefSeq, a predicted model, not a curated record
GGAAAUUCGCAUUCUGUGUUAAGUGCUUCGUUUAAUUUUAAAAGUUUUUUUUUCUAGUCUAGACUAGAUCUAGAUUCUAAUUAACCUUGGCUUACUACAGAUGAUAUAAUUCUAGAUUGACUAGAUCUAGUCUAGAAGUAGAUCUAGAUCUAGAUCUAGUUCUCUGUGAAGGUGUUGGAUAAAGAAGAAUAAAAAACAACAAAGUUAGAUUGUACUGAACCACUGCUAUAAUGAAGGAAUAAAAAAUACCUUUCUGUGCCUGAUAUCUUCAAGAGCAGCACACCAUUGACUAUGGCAGCAUUGCUCAUCAGGUUGGGCAAUCUUCCCUGUAUAUGUGACAUUAAAUCUAGAACUAUAAUUUAAGUAGGAGAUAUUAAUCUGUUAAUUGAGAUUAUCAUUAUUGAGACCCGAGAGAACUAGCGUGCAUUGAAUCAAAACCUCAGCAAUGACUGCCAGAGUAAAAUUUAGUGUUUCUGUGGAGACAUUUCUGGGACAGACUUUGUGUUUAGUUGGAGAUGAUCCUCAGCUUGGAAGUUGGGAUCCCUUGAAGGCCCUUGAGAUGGAACCAGAAAAUGCAGACCAAAAUAGCACCAAGUGGUUUACGACAGUUGCACUUAACCACAGCACCACUUACCACUAUCGCUUCUUUAUUUGUAAACAAAGAACUCAGCCUGUUACCAAUGGGUACAUUACUCCUCUCGCAAAGGAUGUCUUGGGGGAUACCAAUGAUGGAAUGACUAUUUAUAAAUGGGAAACUAACAUCAAACCAAGACACCUUUCUAUACAGAGUGGAGAGGAGGUGCUGGAAUUGCCAGAAGCAACUUUUGGACUUUAUGAUGGAGAACAGAAUGUUGGUAAAGGUUGGCUCAUCAAUCAGUGUGAGGUGCAGAUCAGACUCCACAACAAUCCAAUCUUUAUGUGGAAGACUAAACACAGAGAGCAAACAUACAGUAUACGAUGUACAGCCAUGGAUUAUUCUUUACAGAGUAACACACCAGAUGAUGAUAAUGAAGACUCAAGAGAUGGACCUCUACCAUGUACAGUGGAUGAUGUCCUAGUUUGUAACCUGACUGAUGAUGAUUGUCGACCAACAAUUCAAAGCCAACAUGGGACAGUGUAUUAUAAAGAUAAUUAUAUUGUAUUUAGAACUCAGAUGACAGACACACAGCAACAGGGAUUUCAGCUUGACUUCUGCUUAUCGGAACCAAACAGAGCUCCUAAAUUCAUUGGCUCUUCACACCUUCUGCCUUUCAAACAAAAAGAAUCCCAGCAUACCAGAAAGUUUCCAAUCAUUGGUUUUAACCACAAGCCUAUAGGGGAGAUCACUGUUGAAUAUCUGAUUGUCAAACCAUGCCCAGGUCUUGUAAUGACUAUGGACACUACCUACCAGACUCACUGGAAGUGGAAAAAAGCUGGGGACACUUCAUUAGAUAUAGGUCACAGAGGCAUGGGAGCCUCUUAUUCACAAGUUAGUACAUUAAAAGAAAAUACUAUAGCAUCAUUUGCAGCUGCUGCCAAACAUGGAGCAGAUUUUGUUGAGUUUGAUGUCUUACUAUCCAGAGAUAAAAUGCCUGUGAUAUUUCAUGAUUUCUCUGUCAAAGCUUUAUAUUCAAAUAAAAAGAAACAUCAUCGCCAAAAUGAACUCUUUGAGAUUCCUGUAAAAAGUUUAACCUUAACCCAACUCCAGUCUAUGAAGUUAUUCUGCAGUGACACAACCUGUGUUGGUAUAAAUGAUGAAGAAACAGAAGAAGAGUGUAAUGAGCCAUUUCCUACUCUGGAGAGAGUGUUAACUGUGGUCGAUGAGAAUACAGGAUUUGACAUUGAGAUAAAAUACCCACAGCAAGAUAUAAAUGAUGCUUGGGAAAUGGAGAAUUAUUUCGAUGUGAAUGAGAACAUAGAUCAUAUACUACAAGUUGUUUUUGCUCAUGCAGGGACCAGAAAAAUUGUCUUCUCUAGCUUCGACCCUGAUACAUGUAUACUAAUUCAGCUCAAACAAAACAAAUACCCAGUACUUUUCCUUCAUCAAGGUCAGACCCAGAUCUACACACCUUACAAAGACUAUAGAGCAUAUUCAUUUAAAAAUGGAAUAAGUUUUGCUUUGAGUGAGCAUCUGCUGGGAGUUGCAUUGCAUUCAGAAGUUCUACUCCAAGAUUUGAGUUUGAUUGACAGAGUGUUGAGCAAAAAACUGGUUUUGUUUGUAUGGGGUAGUGACAACAAUAACCCACAGAUGAUUAAAAGACUUAGAGAUCUCAAGGUGGAUGCCAUCAUUUAUGAUAGGAUUGACUGUCAUAAACCUGAACAUCAGCCAGAGUUCCAGCUGCCGUCUGAGACUGUAGCAGCAUCGUUUAUGAACAUUGUUGAGUCCGAAGAGAGAGCAUCUGUCUUAAUAUGUGAGGCCAGCUGUAGUGGAAGUUUAAUAUCGCAGAGGUCAAGGUCAAACAGUGAUUGCUUAGAUAAUGCAGGUGGUUCUAAAUAAAGGUCAUAGAAAAUUGUAAACACAAAGUGGAUUUCAUUAAAUUUUUUUUAGAAAAAUGUUUUGGUUUGUUUACUAUUUCUGAUUGUUUUUUAAAGACUUGGUUUAUUGUGAUGCUUUUUAAAGACUUGAUUUAUUGUGAUUAUGUAAAUUGGAUUUAAUCCAUUAAUCUUUAGCUUCUUCAUUUAUUUUUUCUUUUGCUUGUUAUUCUAAUAUUGCUAGGUCUGAGGCUAUCGAAAUAACUGUUUUGUGUGAUAUUUUAUUUUUAUUUUUGCCUUCCUAUUUAUUACAUUAUAUUAAUUUAUACUAGUGACAUUUUUCUGAUAUGUUCUUUUUCAAAGCAUUUUUAUUUAAUUUCAAAUUUAUCUAUUUGAAAAAACGAGGUUGUUUUUUUGUUCAUAAUUGAGGUAAAUUAUAAUUAUUUUUAAAAUUACAUAAACAUUUAUACUAUUACAAUUAAAUUUUUUUUAAAUAUCUACUAAUAGGGUUUUUUUAAUCUUUAUAUUAAAAAAAUAGUAUAAUUUAGAAAAAAUCAUUUGUGACUAAAGGAAAUAUCAAUAUUUAAAGUGGGUUAUUUGGCAUAUGACCUGACAUACCACUACAUUUUUGUAGGGUGCAGUCAAUGUAGACAUUGCUGACUAGUAAAGACUAGUUUAAAUAUUUUCUAUAACUUAACUUACAGCCCAUCCCUCCCUAUGGGCUAUCAACACUAGAUCUCUAUAACAAUCCCCUGUCCUGGGUCAUCCUUUCCAUUUCAUUCCAGGUGUAAAUAAACUUUAAGAAGGUACCCACCUCUAAUUCAUGUCUCCAGAUGCUUUUUAUACACCCUCUAACUCGAAAAUGAUUAUUCUACCAUCUUGCUGAUAUCAAUCCAUCAACAACGUUUGUUUGUUCUACAUGCUUCGGAUGUUCCUUCAGGGUUGAAGAUAAUUUACUUCCUAGCCCAAGCCUCCCACAGGAUGUCGAGGGAUGGCAGCAGAGGGGAUAUGAGCCCAGGACAAUCGAGAUGACUGAACGACAUUCCACCGCACAUACCGCACUACCUGGCUAACAUCUGUAUUUAUAGAUCUCAUCAUCAUUAUCUAUCCUUGACUUUCGUCAUAGGGAUGCUGCGACAGUUCGCCUAACCCAAAUCCAUCCACUUUUCCUGGUCAGAAGCUGUUCUUAGCAGGAUAUCAAGAGAGAGGCCGGUCCAUUCUUUUAUGUUAUCCAGCCAGCUUUUCUUUGGACACUUUCCUCGUGUUCCCUCCACUGUACCUUGAAGAAUGACUUUUGAGAGUAGAGCCUAAUUGUUUACUUCAAUUGUUAGCAGUGAUUUGCUCUGGACUCAAAGCUUCAAGCAGGUCCAGCAAUGUGGACUUCAAUAUAUUCAGUCUCACUGUAUCCACUUCUUUAACAUUUCCCAUUGUUUUCUUCAUUAUUAUUAUCAUCAAACUUUCAAGGCAGCAUGAUGGCCCACUGUGCAGUACUAAUUACUCUACAUGAUGCUAACUUUUUUCUUUUAGUAGUCCAACCUUAAUACAAUAAUAAUGGCUUUCAAAUAUCUAGCUACUAAACAAGAGCUAUGAACCCAGUUACUUUGGUUUUAAAGAAUGGCAUAAUAAUAAUAACUCUUGUUUUCUAGUUACCUUUAAAAUACAAGCUGUCUCCCUCUGUUGAUCAAAUUGGGAAACUGACACAGAUGUGAAGCUUAUACAGUGAACAAUGCAAUGUAUAUAAAUAGAGCGAAUGGCUGUUCUACUGAUUUAAUUAACUGUUUAGUUCUUAAUGAGAAAUGUUUAUAGUUCAUGUUAUUUAUGAAUGUAAUGCUGUGUUGGAUUUCAAAACUCUACCUCUCUGUGUCUUAUAAGGUCUACAGUUUCUUAACACUAAUGAAUUGGUUUCCUAUGCCUGAUGUCAUACACAUUUGAAUUCAUUGUCUCCAUUUUUUUUUUAGACUUUUAAAUACAUUCUCAGUUGACUCUUCAUUAUAUGUUCUCUAUUUGUCUCAACUUUUUUAAUAAUCAUUUCUUGAAACCACUAUUGAAACUUGAAAGCUGUUCUUACUUUCCCUGUUUAUUGUGUUAUUCAGAUAAUUGAAUUAGUUGUGAUAAGUCCAUUUUAUUUUAUUCCAUUCGAUGUAUUGGUUUCAUUUCUUUUAAGUAUUUAAAAUGUUUGCUUGCUGAACUAUCUUCUUUGUAUUCCAGAGUUGCCAUAUUAACCCUCCAUAAUUUAUCCUCCUCCCUUUAUUUUUUGUAAGUCUGUCUAAUGUAAGUGCUCAGUUAAUCAAUACUUAAUUACACAAUUGUUAAAAGUAUUUAUGUGCCAAUGUAUUUAUCUUUAUGAGAAAAUGUUUGUUCUAAAUUUAAUAUUAUGUUUGUCUUUUUUUAUAAAUCUAUGUUACUCUUUGGCUAAUAAUUCUGAAGUAAUACUUUUUAUUAGAGUCAAAAUGAAAGAACAAAAAGUAAUGUGAAAUGAAAAUAAAAGAACAAAGUAAUGUGAAAUGAAAAAUAGUUUAUCAAGUUAUUACAUGAUAUUUGAGUGGCCAAAACAAGAUAAUAGUCAUAUCGUAAUAAAAUUACACACAACUGCAGAUGACAACACAUUGAUAUCUUUUUUUUUCCUUAUUUGUUGGUCUUCAGUACUAUACAAAUAAAAAUACACAUUCAAAUUUCUAAACCAAGAAUGCUCUUGCCUAUAAACUUACAAGUAUGGUAUCACAAAGUAUACCUGCCUAUCUAAACGGAUUCUUUUUUUCCUCAUUAUUUAUACUGUCAAAGUUGAAAAGCUUUUUUUUUUUUUUUAAUGCUCGCUACCUGACAUACAGUAUACAUUUUUAAAAUGUAAAAAAAAAAAAUGUAUUUCCUAUGUCUGAUUUUAUUUGUUUCAGAGUUGGUAUACAUGUACAAAGUGAUUAACUCUUCCCAACAAGCUAAUUAAU